UCCUACGGGAGGCAGCAGUGAGGAAUAUUGGCCAAUGGGCGAGAGCCUGAACCAGCCAAGUCGCGUGAGGGAAGACGGUCCUAUGGAUUGUAAACCUCUUUUGCCGGGGAGCAAAAAGCGGUACGUGUACCGCAUCGAGAGUACCCGGAGAAAAAGCAUCGGCUAACUCCGUGCCAGCAGCCGCGGUAAUACGGAGGAUGCGAGCGUUAUCCGGAUUUAUUGGGUUUAAAGGGUGCGCAGGCGGCGAGUUAAGUCAGCGGUAAAAUUUCGGGGCUCAACCACGACGAGCCGUUGAAACUGGCUUG
RNAcentral lists this ribosomal RNA (305 nucleotides) under uncultured bacterium. RNAcentral's name for it is "bacterial SSU rRNA". It matches the Rfam family "Bacterial small subunit ribosomal RNA", at positions 337 to 640 of the family's 1533-position model. The record is from RNAcentral.